AAAAUCUUGAAAGGACUGACAGAGAAAUCCUGUACAAAUGUGUGCUUCCAACUUGUGACAACAGUUUGGGGACAUUCCACAUAUGGGUGUGAUGGUCAGGUGUGAUGGGUGUGAUGGUCAGGUGUGAUAGUCGGGUGUGAUGGGUGUGAUAGUCGGGUGUGACAGUCGGGUGUGAUACGUGUGAUAGUCGGGUGUGAUGGUCAGGUGUUAUGGGUGUGAUGGUCAGGUGUGAUAGUCGGGUGUGAUGGGUGUGAUAGUCGGGUGUGAUAGUCAGGUGUGAUACGUGUGAUAGUCGGGUGUGAUGGGUGUGAUAGUCGGGUGUGAUAGUCGGGUGUGAUAGUCGGGUGUGAUAGUCGGGUGUGAUGGGUGUGAUAGUCGGGUGUGAUAGUCGGGUGUGAUGUGUGUGAUAGUCGGGUGUGAUGGGUAUGAUGGUCAGGUGUGAUGGUCAGGUGUGAUUGGUGUGUUGGUCAGGUGUGAUAGUCGGGUGUGAUGGCCGGUGUGAUGGGUGUGAUGGUCGCUGUGAUGGGUGUGAUGGUCAGGUGUGAUUGGUAUGAUGGUCAGGUGUGAUGGUCAGGUGUGAUUGGUGUGAUGGUCAGAUGUGAUGGUCAGGUGUGAUGGUCAGGCGUGAUUGGUAUGAUGGUCAGAUGUGAUGGUCAGGUGUGAUGGGUGUGAUAGUCGGGUGUGAUAGUCGGUGUGAUGGGUGUGAUGGUCAGGUGUGAUUGGUAUGAUGGACAGGUGUGAUGGGUGUGAUGGUCAGGUGUGAUUGGUGUGAUGGUCGGGUGUGAUGGUCAGGUGUGAUGGUCGGGUGUGAUAGUCGGGUGUGAUGGUCAGUGUGAUGGGUGGUCAGGUGUGAUGGUCGGGUGUGAUAGUCGGGUGUGAUGGUCAGUGUGAUGGGUGUAAUGAUCAGGUGUGAUGGUCAGGUGUAAUGGUCAGGUGUGAUGGUCGGGUGUGAUGGGUCUGAUGGUCAGGUGUGAUGGUCGGGUGUCCGUAUACAGUAUACAACUACACAUAUAGUGUCUUUUUCCCAGUAUAUUCUGUUUAUAUAUCCUAAUUAUCCAGUGAUAAUCACUGUUCUAUCCCUGUAAUAAACCAUACUC
Long non-coding RNA from Ictalurus punctatus (channel catfish), 1097 nucleotides. Lineage: Eukaryota; Metazoa; Chordata; Actinopteri; Siluriformes; Ictaluridae. The record is from Ensembl.